UGGGGAAUCUUAGACAAUGGGCGCAAGCCUGAUCUAGCCAUGCCGCGUGAGUGAUGAAGGCCUUAGGGUCGUAAAGCUCUUUCGCCAGGGAUGAUAAUGACAGUACCUGGUAAAGAAACCCCGGCUAACUCCGUGCCAGCAGCCGCGGUAAUACGGAGGGGGUUAGCGUUGUUCGGAAUUACUGGGCGUAAAGCGYACGUAGGCGGAYUAKAAAGUURGRGGUGAAAUCCCAGGGCUCAACCCUGGAACUGCCUCCAAAACUSCUAGUCUUGAGUUCGAGAGAGGUGAGUGGAAUUCCGAGUGUAGAGGUGAAAUUCGUAGAUAUUCGGAGGAACACCAGUGGCGAAGGCGGCUCACUGGCUCGAUACUGACGCUGAGGUGCGAAAGUGUGGGGAGCAAACAGGAUUAGAUACCCUGGUAGUCCACACCGUAAACGAUGAAUGCCAGUCGUCGGGCAGCAUGCURUUCGGUGACACACCUAACGGAUUAAGCAUUCCGCCUGGGGAGUACGGUCGCAAGAUU
Molecule: ribosomal RNA, 522 nt
Filed under: uncultured bacterium
Lineage: Bacteria
Description: bacterial SSU rRNA
Rfam family: Bacterial small subunit ribosomal RNA
Source: RNAcentral